GAGUAACGCGUAUCCAACCUGCCUUACACUCUUGGACAGCCUUCUGAAAGGGAGAUUAAUACAAGAUGUUAUCAUGAGUAAGCAUUUUCGCAUGAUUAAAGGUUUACCGGUGUAAGAUGGGGAUGCGUUCCAUUAGAUAGUAGGCGGGGUAACGGCCCACCUAGUCUUCGAUGGAUAGGGGUUCUGAGAGGAAGGUCCCCCACAUUGGAACUGAGACACGGUCCAAACUCCUACGGGAGGCAGCAGUGAGGAAUAUUGGUCAAUGGACGAGAGUCUGAACCAGCCAAGUAGCGUGAAGGAUGAAGGUUCUAUGGAUUGUAAACUUCUUUUAUACGGGAAUAAACGGAUCCACGUGUGGAUUUUUGCAUGUACCGUAUGAAUAAGGAUCGGCUAACUCCGUGCCAGCAGCCGCGGUAAUACGGAGGAUCCGAGCGUUAUCCGGAUUUAUUGGGUUUAAAGGGAGCGUA
RNAcentral lists this ribosomal RNA (467 nucleotides) under uncultured bacterium. RNAcentral describes it as "bacterial SSU rRNA". It matches the Rfam family "Bacterial small subunit ribosomal RNA", at positions 108 to 573 of the family's 1533-position model. The record is from RNAcentral.